CAUUCUUUUAGUUUGCUGGGUUCUCUGUGACUUGAAAGCAUGAUGUAUCUCCUGGUAGGGCCAUUGCCACUUGUAAUAAUGGCGCCUUGUGGCUUAAUGAGAACAGGCUCUAUUAAUCCCUCUUUGUCUGACCUCAGACAACCUCGCCCUCAGUGGAAGCAGGAUUCUUAGGCCCUUGGGACCCUUUUGAACUGUUGUCAUAGUGAUUGGUGCCAGGGGCAGGGUCACUGAGCCAAUAUCCCUAACCAAACCAUCUCUGUCUUAAUGAAACCCACAGAUCAUGGCUGUUCAGUCCCAAAGAUGGAGAGAGAAGUGAUUAAUCAAGCAACACGGCCAGCAUUUGGUCUGAGUGUACUAAGGCUGGGGUGCCCCACAACCUUCUGGAGCCUGGUAACUUUCCCCAAAAGAAAACUUAGCUGACCUGCCCAGAAGGCCCCCAGGGUGAGACUGCUAUAGCCCCAAGGCUCUGGAGCCACUCCCAAAUGCUUAGCUCAAGCCCUUGGGGGCCUCUCAGAGAAUGCUGUCACUGAAACAAGCUCUGACCCCAGAGACUCUCAGGCCCGCUCCCUGUGGUGCAGGUGGGGAAACCGAGGCCCACCAGAGCCGGCUCUGAUUCCAGAGCACUCAGCACCUGAGAUUCUAAACCAGGCCCUUUUCCUCCCCACCUCCCACUUCUGAAAAGGAGUCUCUUUAAAAACAGUUGGUAUUUUUGCAGUAAGUUUUUUUUUUAAGUCUGAUCUGUUAAAAAAAAAAAAAAGACCACACACACACCUUUUUGUUUUGUUUUGUUUUGUUUUAAUUACACAAGCAAAUCAUGAGUAUGUUUUCCUUGAAACAACAACAGCAACUACAAAAACACCAGAGCAUUGCGGAUGGAUGAGAUUCAAAUGCCUUUGGCCUCAGUCCACAAUCCCAGCAGCACCUCCCCAGAC
RNAcentral lists this long non-coding RNA (932 nucleotides) under Marmota monax (woodchuck). Lineage: Eukaryota; Metazoa; Chordata; Mammalia; Rodentia; Sciuridae. The record is from RNAcentral.